AGUUAUCUCUUCAGUAAAUCUUUUGUAGGUCACAUUUAAAUGCACCACUGCCAUUGGGUAUAAACCUAUUUGCAGUUAAUAACAGGUAACCAUGGUGUGAAUGGCGUUUCGUACUACCACGCACAAAAUGGAAUUGGGAUAUCAGCUUCAGCAAUGUAUAAUUGCCAAACAAAUAUUUCUGAACUCUCCCCACUAAUAAAAGUGAUUAGUGGAUAAUGUUGAUGAAAAUGACAACAGUAAUAGCAAUAAAAUGACCCCUAUUCAGAAUGUC
Non-coding RNA from Zootermopsis nevadensis, 271 nucleotides. The record is from RefSeq and is a predicted model, not a curated record. Lineage: Eukaryota; Metazoa; Arthropoda; Insecta; Blattodea; Termopsidae.